Molecule: long non-coding RNA, 1084 nt
Organism: Piliocolobus tephrosceles (Ugandan red Colobus)
Lineage: Eukaryota; Metazoa; Chordata; Mammalia; Primates; Cercopithecidae
Exons: 3
Source: RefSeq, a predicted model, not a curated record
GUCCACUUGGUACGGGAGCGAGAGCCGCAGCCGGUAGUCGGGUUUCCUUGAGUCGAGGCACAGCAGCUUUCCCGUCACCUCCAGCGCCGCCUGCUCGGCCGAGCGCAACAGCGGCAGUUCGAUGGUGACCACCAGCUCAUGGGGGUCUUGGCAUUCCUGCGGUCCAGCUUCACGCCGAACUGCUUCUCGACGGCCUCCAGGGCCGUAGCGUCCAGCAUCUGGCUGAAGCCCUCGUGCCGCCGGGCCAGCGCUAGCGCGUCUGGAUGGAAGACCACGUCGUAGACCAUGUAUCGGCUGCUGCUGCGCCCCGCGUACUCACGGCCUGGCGCCAAACUGUAGGGCAGGGACCAGUGACUGCCAGGAGCUGCACCCGGGUCGUCAUCGGAGCUGGGCCGGCUGCUGGGCGCGCCCACCAGCGCAUUGCUGCAGACGUUCACGAAGCAGCGCCGUGUCCCGUCCAGGCUGGUGCGCAGCACGUGCCCCGGCUGCGGGUGCACGAACCGCACCUCCACCCCGCGCUCACGCUCUAGCGCGGUGAUCUCAGCCUCGUAGCGCCGCCGGUUCUCCGGGUCGGUGAGCUCCUCGGCGUACUGGGAGAACAUUCGCCGGAACUCCGGGUCCUGGAAGGCGGAGAUUCCUGUGCCAUGGUGCAGUUACUUACUUCUGCAGAGUAACUGUUGUAGUAACUGGCAUAAUUUCCAGCAUUACGUGCCUUAUCCCAUUCAUUGCUCACACCACUUAAAGAUAAAAACCUCAUCCCCGACUCUUGCCUGCCACCACUCUGCUCUUUCUUCGUCUUCUGCCAUGAUUGUGAGGCCUCCCCAGCCAUGUGGAACUAAAGCCUUCUGGAGAAUGUACUUGGAGCUCCUAAUAAGCUAUCUCGGGCCAAGGAAAAUGUCACAUUUCUUUGCUCUUGGCAGGAAUCCCAGCUCCUUGGCUUGGGAGCACCCUUUCUCCCAUGCUGAACAGAAACUUCAUUUGGCCAUUAUGUUCAUUGCCAAUUAAUAAAUUAUAGGAGAACAACAACAACAAAAAAAAAACCUCCUCAUCCCCCUUUCACAAACAAGAAGAUGGGACCUGAGAA